Molecule: transfer-messenger RNA, 350 nt
Filed under: Oscillospiraceae bacterium
Lineage: Bacteria; Bacillati; Bacillota; Clostridia; Eubacteriales; Oscillospiraceae
Rfam family: transfer-messenger RNA
About the family: Bacterial tmRNA, also known as 10Sa RNA or SsrA, is named for its dual tRNA and mRNA-like properties. Its role is to liberate the mRNA from a stalled ribosome.
Source: RNAcentral
GGGGAUGUAAAGGUUUCGACGGGGAUCUUGAAACAUGAUAAGCGAGCAGAGGAUUGCGCCAUCUCUUUAAAAGGCGCCGUUUUAAAAUUAGACGACAACAAUAAUUUUGAAUUAGCAGCUGCUUAAUUGCUGCUCGUCUGACCGCUGAGUACCGCGGCGGCGGAUCAGGCGUCGAUUAGCGGUGAACGCGUUGGGGAAGUGCCUGCGUCCCUAAUGUGUAUUGCAGGCUACUGAGUAUUACCGGCUGUUUGUUUCCGAUAAUGCAAGGGAAUGUUAAUAACAAACUACGCUCGUAGAAAGUUGUGCGGAUAGGUUUUCGGACACGGGUUCGAUUCCCGUCAUCUCCACCA